GCCACGUCUGAAAGCUGCUCAUUGUUUCAAUUAUACUCUGCUGGGUUCCUAAAGGAAACAGAUUUCCUCAGCCUGCAAACUUUUACUGAGAUCAGAAAGAUUUUACAGCUGUUGACUCUCUUGCAGCAACCAAAAUCCAUUCAAUUCUGCAAUGGCGCUUCUGAGGCAAGUUUAGUGAAUAAUAAAUUGCAAAUGCAAAGAGGAGACCACAUCAAGAGCAACAGACACAGUAGAAGAGGUGUUUGGAUGUGCAGGAAAAUCUCUGCCAGAUGUGGAAGAAUCCUUUGGGGCCUUGGAUGAAGAUGCUGACAGACCUGGUAACUUUCUCCAGCAAUUUCUGUUUUUGUUACUUGAAGAGGAACUUACACCUACAACUUUCUGAUGACCAUCUACUGAGCCAUGACUGUCAUUUUUUAUGCAAUUAAAGUCUUCUAUAUUUUA
This is a long non-coding RNA of Hemiscyllium ocellatum (epaulette shark), 441 nucleotides long. RefSeq lists it as uncharacterized. The transcript is spliced from 4 exons. NCBI's taxonomy places the organism in Eukaryota, Metazoa, Chordata, Chondrichthyes, Orectolobiformes, Hemiscylliidae. The record is from RefSeq and is a predicted model, not a curated record.